This 468-nucleotide ribosomal RNA is filed under the name uncultured bacterium. Its description in RNAcentral is "partial 16S ribosomal RNA". It matches the Rfam family "Bacterial small subunit ribosomal RNA", at positions 28 to 507 of the family's 1533-position model. The record is from RNAcentral.
GACGAACGCUGGCGGCGUGCUUAACACAUGCAAGUCGAACGGAAAGGCCCUGCUUUUGUGGUGUGCUCGAGUGGCGAACGGGUGAGUAACACGUGAGUAACCUGCCCUUGACUUUGGGAUAACUUCAGGAAACUGGGGCUAAUACCGGAUAGGAGCUCCUGCUGCAUGGUGGGGGUUGGAAAGUUUCGGCGGUUGGGGAUGGACUCGCGGCUUAUCAGCUUGUUGGUGGGGUAGUGGCUUACCAAGGCUUUGACGGGUAGCCGGCCUGAGAGGGUGACCGGCCACAUUGGGACUGAGAUACGGCCCAGACUCCUACGGGAGGCAGCAGUGGGGAAUAUUGCACAAUGGGCGGAAGCCUGAUGCAGCAACGCCGCGUGCGGGAUGACGGCCUUCGGGUUGUAAACCGCUUUCGCCUGUGACGACGCGUGAGUGACGGUAAUGGGUAAAGAAGCACCGGCUAACUACGUG